Long non-coding RNA from Myotis myotis, 342 nucleotides. RefSeq lists it as uncharacterized. The transcript is spliced from 2 exons. The record is from RefSeq and is a predicted model, not a curated record. Lineage: Eukaryota; Metazoa; Chordata; Mammalia; Chiroptera; Vespertilionidae.
GUGACGUCACCUGGGCCGACGCCGCAGGACUUGGCGAGGGAAACGGCUGCGGCGUAAUAUUGGGUGGUAACCCGAGAAAUAGCCCACUGCCGCCGGGGCCCGCUGUGGCCCGGCACAAGGACUGCUUCCGCAUGUUUCGCGGCGCAGACUUACCCCCGGUUCCCGGCUGCGGCUUCCAGCGCUGGAGGCCGGAAGGACUCGCUGGUGGGCGGAGCGGAAUCCGGAAGUGCGGGUUGGCAACAUUCAACCCGAAACCCUGAGUGAGUGAUGGGAAGAGACACCCGGCCAACCCACAACGGACAUGUAUCGGAAGUAGAAAAUAAACCUUGGAUGUUUGAAUUA